AGCCCCCGAGUUAACCGUGCCAACUCCAUCAGCUGCCAUGCCGCCCACUGCUGAUCAGGCGGUUCUGGGGCUGCCUGCUGGAGUGGCAAAGGAGGUGUCACUAGUUCUUGCUACUGGCACCUUGCUGUCAAAUGUGAUCGCCAGCGGUAAGCGUUCUCCUUGUUAAAUGUAGUCUUUUGAGUAGUGUUGUAGUCUUGACUUCGAUUUUGUAGGUCUUGGUGAGAAGACGGCGCCGGCGGCCAUUCCCGCGGCUCCGGGUACUCGGCCGCCUAUUGCCGAGAGGAAACGUGUGCGACUGCCGCCACGUUCAACCCGGUGAGCUCCCUUGUCCUUUUGAACGAUGUUGCAUUGUCUGGAAAUCAUGUAGUAACACUUUGGCGGUG
RNAcentral lists this long non-coding RNA (383 nucleotides) under Setaria viridis. Its description in RNAcentral is "long non-coding RNA (SVIR_LNC005026)". The record is from RNAcentral. Lineage: Eukaryota; Viridiplantae; Streptophyta; Magnoliopsida; Poales; Poaceae.